RNAcentral lists this non-coding RNA (186 nucleotides) under Proteus mirabilis. RNAcentral describes it as "6S RNA". It matches the Rfam family "6S / SsrS RNA". From Rfam's summary of the family: E. coli 6S RNA was the first non coding RNA to be sequenced, but its function was unknown until recently. It consists of 184 nucleotides that fold into an extended hairpin structure with a large single-stranded internal bulge. The 6S RNA specifically associates with RNA polymerase holoenzyme containing the sigma70 specificity factor. Lineage: Bacteria; Pseudomonadati; Pseudomonadota; Gammaproteobacteria; Enterobacterales; Morganellaceae. The record is from RNAcentral.
AUUUCUCUGAGAUGUUCGUCAGUGGGUAAGUCCCCUGAGCCGAUAUUUCAAAAAAAAAUAGAAUGUGGUGAUCUAUUACUUGUGAGCAUACCUGAUUCGUUCAGGCAGCCUAAUGGUGAUAGCACUAUGUUCACCUUGAACCACGGGUUCAAGGGUUACAGCCUACAACGGCAUCUUGGAGACCCC